This 253-nucleotide ribosomal RNA is filed under the name uncultured bacterium. RNAcentral describes it as "partial 16S ribosomal RNA". It matches the Rfam family "Bacterial small subunit ribosomal RNA", at positions 524 to 776 of the family's 1533-position model. The record is from RNAcentral.
GACGAACUGUGCAAACGUUAUUCGGAAUCACUGGGCUUAAAGGGUGCGUAGGCGGUCUUGUAAGUAGGGUGUGAAAGCCCCCGGCUCAACCGGGGAACUGCGUCCUAAACUGCGAGGCUAGAGUGAGGUAGGGGUGUGUGGAACUUCCAGUGGAGCGGUGAAAUGUGUUGAUAUUGGAAGGAACGCCGGUGGCGAAAGCGACACACUGGACCUUGUCUGACGUUGAGGCACGAAAGCCAGGGGAGCAAACGGG